CUAGCCGUAAACGAUCCCCGUUAGAUAUUCGACCUGUCCUUUGAAUUCUUUCUUCGGAAAGAAUGAGGAGGCCGGUUGAGUGUCACAGCUAAUGCAUUAAACGGGGCGCCUGGGGAGUACGGCCGCAAGGCUAAAACUCAAAGGAAUUGACGGGGACCCGCACAAGCAGUGGAGCGUUUGGUUUAAUUCGAUGCUAAGCGAAGAACCUUACCAGGGUUUGAACUGUAGCUGCAUACCCCCUGAAAAGGGGGAGGCUUUCGAGGGUGCUACAGAGGUGC
This 278-nucleotide ribosomal RNA is filed under the name uncultured bacterium. Its description in RNAcentral is "partial 16S ribosomal RNA". It matches the Rfam family "Bacterial small subunit ribosomal RNA", at positions 796 to 1041 of the family's 1533-position model. The record is from RNAcentral.